CGGCGGACGGGUGAGUAACGCGUGGGUAACCUGCCUCAUACAGGGGGAUAACAGUUAGAAAUGACUGCUAAUACCGCAUAAGACCACGGUACCGCAUGGUACAGUGGUAAAAACUCCGGUGGUAUGAGAUGGACCUGCGUCUGAUUAGGUAGUUGGUGGGGUAACGGCCUACCAAGCCGACGAUCAGUAGCCGACCUGAGAGGGUGAUCGGCCACAUUGGGACUGAGACACGGCCCAG
This 238-nucleotide ribosomal RNA is filed under the name uncultured bacterium. RNAcentral's name for it is "partial 16S ribosomal RNA". It matches the Rfam family "Bacterial small subunit ribosomal RNA", at positions 96 to 334 of the family's 1533-position model. The record is from RNAcentral.